UACGUAGGGGGCUAGCGUUGUCCGGAAUCACUGGGCGUAAAGGGCGCGUAGGCGGCCUGAUAAGUAGGGGGUGAAAUCUUGCGGCUUAACCGCAAGGCUGCCUUCUAAACUGUCAGGCUAGAGCACAGUAGAGGCAGGUGGAAUUCCCGGUGUAGCGGUGGAAUGCGUAGAGAUCGGGAAGAACAUCAGUGGCGAAGGCGGCCUGCUGGGCUGUUGCUGACGCUGAGGCGCGACAGCGUGGGGAGCAAACAGG
This 253-nucleotide ribosomal RNA is filed under the name uncultured bacterium. RNAcentral's name for it is "partial 16S ribosomal RNA". It matches the Rfam family "Bacterial small subunit ribosomal RNA", at positions 524 to 776 of the family's 1533-position model. The record is from RNAcentral.